RNAcentral lists this long non-coding RNA (1749 nucleotides) under Carica papaya (papaya). RNAcentral describes it as "long non-coding RNA (CPAP_LNC008859)". The record is from RNAcentral. Lineage: Eukaryota; Viridiplantae; Streptophyta; Magnoliopsida; Brassicales; Caricaceae.
ACCAGAGAUGAAACAGGAAUCUUUCUGACACAAACCCAAUACAUAGAAGAUCUGCUUAGAAAAACAAGCAUGGAGAACUCAAAAUCAUGUUCAACACCAACGGCUCUCAAUGUUGCUCAAGCAACUCGAGAACGUGAACCUUUCAAAAGUCCUACAACCUACAGAAGAAUUAUAGGUGCACUGCAAUACAUAACGCAUACCAGACCUGACCUUGCCUACAUUAUAAACAAGCUGAUCCAGUUCCUAAAGCAACCAAUAAUAAAGCAUAUGCAAGCAGUAAAGAGGAUACUGAGAUAUCUAGAAGGCACAAAGAAUUUUGGCCUACAUAUUCAACCAUGUAGUAGUUAUACACUCACUGGUUAUUCUGAUGCAGAUUGGGCAUGUAAUAGAGAUGACAGAAAAUUAACUGCUCACUAUUGUGUUUAUUUUACUUAAAAAAGCAUAGUGUUAUUCAAGAUCAAGCACGGAAUCUGAGUACAGGGCAUUGGCACAUAUGCCAUGUGAGAUUGUUUGGUUAGAGUCUCUACUCAAAGAGUUGUUCAUUCCCCUUUCAGAAGUCCCUAUAACUUGGUGUGAUAACUUGAGUGCAAGUCAAUUGGCAAAUAAUUCAGUCUUUCAUGCGAGGAUCAAACGCAUAGAAGUAGACAUUCAUUUAAUCUGAGAUAAGGUCCUUGAUAGAAAAAUUGAGGUGAGAUAUGUACCAUCACAAGAUCAAAUAACAAAUUGUCUUACCAAAGCUCAAGGAGGAAUACAAUUCUACAACUCAAGAAACAAACUUGGAGUAGUUGAGAGAACUCUACGACUACCAAGUUUGAAGGGGGAUGUCAAGGAACAUGUAACAAACAGCCAACAGGAACACCAUUAGCAGUGCAUCUACAAUUUGUACUGCACAGCCUGCAACCUGUACUGCACAAUAAGAAUUUGUUGUAACAAACUUCGUCCUUCCUGGAAAGCUGUAAAUCACUCAUUUGACCACUUGUACAGUUUUGAUUCACUACAAAAUUCUAUAAAUUGAAUUCCUCUCAUCUUAGCACAUUAAGCUAAGAAUUGUCUAGCAUAUUUCUUUCAUUUUUCUUUCUCCCUGCAUUUCAACCACCUCCCGUCAAUAUCUUCUUCAACUUUCCCCUUAGUCUUCUCUCUCCAUCCCCUACAUCAUCACUCACCGCUCGACGUUACAUUAUCUACCAGUUGUUUCCCAAACUCAAUCGCAACAUUGAACUGUGCGAAUUUACGGUGCCAAGAAUCUUGUUUUUGGCAUGUCGUAUGGUUGACCAUGGAUGCACGAGGUUCCGCCUUUCGGUUGACGCAGAAGUGGUGUGGUUUGAUAUAAUCCGCGACACCGCUAAGAGACAUAUGAUUGAGGAGCUUCGUGAAAAGGUUUACGGGUUAUUGGAUAGCUUGGAAGAUGAAGAUGAAGAUGAAGAUGAAGAUGAAACGGGGAACAGUGCGAUCUGUCUGUAAGAGAUGAAGUUGGGAGGGAAGAAGGUAACUGAGAUGGCUUGCAGACAGUGUUUCCAUGAAGGAUGUGUAAUGCAGUGGUUGAAAAACAAGAACACUUGUCCUCAUUGUAGACGAGUUGUGGAUGUUGCAUCUGAGUAGUUAAUUUUUCUAAAUUUAUAAAUUGAUAAUUGUUUCUUUUUCUUUUAGGUGAUUUAAACCCUUAAUUUCUUAGGAGGCUUUUUAAGUGUGUCCAGAUUAUUUAUUCAUGAAAAAUUUGUUCUUUUGUAAAAUAUAUAUAUAUAUAUAUAU